This 494-nucleotide ribosomal RNA is filed under the name uncultured bacterium. RNAcentral's name for it is "partial 16S ribosomal RNA". It matches the Rfam family "Bacterial small subunit ribosomal RNA", at positions 28 to 507 of the family's 1533-position model. The record is from RNAcentral.
GACGAACGCUGGCGGCGUGCUUAACACAUGCCAGUCGAACGGAAAGGCCUGCUUUCCCUUGUGGAUUGCGGGUACUCGAGUGGCGAACGGGUGAGUAACACGUGAGUGAUCUGCCCCCAACUUGGGUAUAAGCCUGGGAAACUGGGUCUAAUUCCCGAUAGGACUGCAGGGUGGUGCCUGUGGUGGAAAACGAUUUUCUAGUGGUUGGGGAUGAGCUCGCGGCCUAUCAGCUUGUUGGUGGGGUAAUGGCCUACCAAGGCGGCGACGGGUAGCCGGCCUGAGAGGGUGGACGGACACAUUUGGACGGAGAGACGGCCCAGACUACCAAGGGAGGCAGCAGUGGGGAAUAGUGCACAAUGGGAGGAAGCAUGAUGCAGCGACGCCGCGUGAGGGAUGACGGCCUUCGGGUUGUAAACUCCUUUCGACAGCGAGGAAGCCACCUGGUUGGAAGGGUGGUGACGGUAGUGGUAGAAGAAGCACCGGCUAACUACGUG